This is a small nuclear RNA of Callithrix jacchus (white-tufted-ear marmoset), 106 nucleotides long. The record is from RefSeq and is a predicted model, not a curated record. NCBI's taxonomy places the organism in Eukaryota, Metazoa, Chordata, Mammalia, Primates, Cebidae.
GUGCUCACUUCAACAGCACAUAUACUAAAAUUAUAAUCUACAGAGAAGAUUGGCAUGUCCCCUGCACAAGAAUGACACACAAAUUCAUAAAGCAGUCCAUAUUUUG